Molecule: ribosomal RNA, 1396 nt
Filed under: Ischnocnema sp. CC-2012
Lineage: Eukaryota; Metazoa; Chordata; Amphibia; Anura; Brachycephalidae
Description: partial 16S ribosomal RNA
Rfam family: Bacterial large subunit ribosomal RNA
Source: RNAcentral
GCCCAAAAUCUAGCCCAUUACAAACUAUACCACAAAAUAAAAAUUAAAAUAUUUUAUAAUUUAAGUAAAGACGAUUAAAAACCUAAUAGGAGCUAUACCAACGUACCGCAAGGGAAAAAUGAAAUAAAAUGAAAUAAUAAAUAAGCACAAAAAAGUAAAGACUACUACUUGUACCUUUUGCAUCAUGGUUUAACUAGUCUAAUCAAGCAAAAAGACUUUAAGUUUGACACCCCGAAACUGAGUGAGCUACUUCAGGGCAGCUUAUUGAGCAAACCCGUCCCUGUCGCAAAAGAGUGGGAAGACCUUGUAGUAGCGGUGACAAGCCUAACGAACUCAGUGAUAGCUGGUUACUCAAGAAAAGAAUCUCAGUCCAACCUAAAACAACCUAAUAACUUUAACUACCUGCUUUAGAGCAAUUCAAAUAAGGCACAGCCUAUUUGAAACAGGACACAACCUUAAACAACGGGUAAUUAAACUACAACUAAAACCAAGUUGGCCUAAAAGCAGCCACCUUAAAAGAGCGUCAAAGCCUAAUUCUAACAAUUUCUAAUACCUUAAUUAAUAAAGAACCCUUCAUCAAUAUUGAGUAAUUCUAUAACAUUAUAGAAAUUUUUAUGUUAAAACUAGUAACAAGAAGACACCCUUCUCUUUUAAUGUAAACAUAAAUCAGAUUGGAUGUACCACUGAUCCUUAUUCAGCUAAACAAACAGUACCACACUAGAAAACUCUGUUCUAUUUACUGUUAACCUAACACAAGAGCAUUUCAAGAAAGAUUAAAAGAAAAAGAAGGAACUCGGCAAAUAUUGAUCCCGCCUGUUUACCAAAAACAUCGCCUCCCGCUAAAAAUGAGAGGUCCAGCCUGCCCAGUGACACCAGUUCAACGGCCACGGUAUUCUGACCGCGCUAAGGUAGCGCAAUCACUUGUUUUUUAAAUAAAGACUAGUAUGAAAGGCACCACGAGAAUCAAACUGUCUCCUUUUUCAAAUCUGUGAAACUAAUCCCCCCGUGAAGAAGCGGGGAUUUUUACAUAAGACGAGAAGACCCUAUGGAGCUUCAGACAAAAUAAUACCUAUUUCACCCAUUUAAAAUCAUAUUAAAACAUGUUAAUUAUUUAGUCUUAGGUUGGGACGACCACGGAGUAAAACUAACCCUCCACGCCGAAAAGGAUAUUUCCUUAAGAAAAGAGCUACAACUCUACCCAUCAAUAAAUUGACAUCAUUGACCCAAUUACUUGAUCAACGAAACAAGUUACCCUAGGGAUAACAGCGCAAUCCACUUUAAGAGCCCUUAUCAACAAGUGGGUUUACGACCUCGAUGUUGGAUCAGGGUAUCCUAAUGGUGCAGCCGCUAUUAAAGGUUCGUUUGUUCAACGAUUAAAACCCUACGUGAUCUGAGU